GGGUCACUAUUGCUAGAUGAUUACAUCGAUAGGUAUAGAAAAUUAUUCCUAUGCUAUUGGCUUAGGUUCAAACUUAUGGGGUCACAUGCAUUAUAAGAUUCAAUCAGAUCUGAUGGCUGAAGAGUCUAAUUGGGUUGUGACUCUAGUGAGGAGUCCUACUGGGACUAGGACUCUGGAGGAGAGUCCCACUAAACUGAGACUCUACUAUUAAUAGAGAAUUAAUUUAUAAUUAAAUUACUAAUUAACUCA
This 249-nucleotide long non-coding RNA is filed under the name Elaeis guineensis (African oil palm). RNAcentral's name for it is "long non-coding RNA (EGUI_LNC052789)". The record is from RNAcentral. Lineage: Eukaryota; Viridiplantae; Streptophyta; Magnoliopsida; Arecales; Arecaceae.